Molecule: long non-coding RNA, 570 nt
Filed under: Homo sapiens (human)
Lineage: Eukaryota; Metazoa; Chordata; Mammalia; Primates; Hominidae
Description: HSALNT0069852
Source: RNAcentral
GUUAGUUAGGUGAGAAGGGGUGGGGACAUUAAUCCAAGUUGAGAAAAGCUGCAUUUGGAGAAACUAGGCAGGAUAGGAGCUCGACAUCAGCAGGUCUGACUGACUGGAACAGAAUAGUGAAGAGUUUGUGUUUGGAGAUUGCCAAGAAAAGGACACUAUUAUUCAGUUUCUAUUGGGCCAUGUCCAGGGACAAUAACGGACCAUGAAGAGAAAGGUCUGCAGUAGCCCAGAAAACCAAAGACCAUGCAAAUGGAGUACCGAUAGAAACCAAUGGCCUAACAGAUGUCAAAGGAAGAAGAAAGGGAAUGGCGCUCCCCAAAAACCUCAGCCUGAGAGAACUGUCACAAUUUGACCUCUUGGGAAGCUCUCUGAAAGGCUCUAGCUUCAGGACUUGUUUUUAUCUGAAUCAGAGCUCACUCUGUCUGAAUAUCAUUACUCUUAUGGCAUCCGUUGAAAAUUGUCCAUGGGAAUUUUUAACAUCACAGCUGCUUAAGGCAGCAAUACCAGUUUGGGUUAACAGGAGGCAGAUGUAAAAACCUGAAAGGAGAAACUGAGGAAUGUAGUGUCCAA